CAUAUAACAAAAAAAUCAAAAAAAAA
This 26-nucleotide small RNA is filed under the name Arabidopsis thaliana (thale cress). RNAcentral's name for it is "ATSL150390". The record is from RNAcentral. Lineage: Eukaryota; Viridiplantae; Streptophyta; Magnoliopsida; Brassicales; Brassicaceae.